CUUUUUCUUCAGCUUCAAGCCUCAGCAGGUCUCAGAGGACCAAUCAGAGCCCAGCUACAGACCACAUGAUCAACCAGGGUGAAACUGAAGACGGACAUUACGCUUCUCUUCUUCAUGGUGAUUCUUGUCUCUAUGAAACACUCAGAGGCUCUGAAGAACGUAAACAAGGGACGAAUGAUGAACCAGAGGAGAGCGAUUACUCAAAUGUGACGAGAUAAACAGCUGCAGGUACUUCAAGUACAACGGACCAUGUAGUACAAUAUGAAUAAAACAUCUGCAUGGACAGAACCAGGGGAACAGAUGACGACAUGAAAAACCACAUCUUUGUCUCUGAGUAAUUAUUGUGUAACUUCUUUCCUGAUAUGAGACAGUAUUUU
Pungitius pungitius (ninespine stickleback) is the source of this 377-nucleotide long non-coding RNA. RefSeq lists it as uncharacterized. The record is from RefSeq and is a predicted model, not a curated record. NCBI's taxonomy places the organism in Eukaryota, Metazoa, Chordata, Actinopteri, Perciformes, Gasterosteidae. The transcript has 5 exons.